Molecule: ribosomal RNA, 459 nt
Filed under: uncultured bacterium
Lineage: Bacteria
Description: partial 16S ribosomal RNA
Rfam family: Bacterial small subunit ribosomal RNA
Source: RNAcentral
CCUACGGGAGGCAGCAGUGAGGAAUAUUGGUCAAUGGUCGGGAGACUGAACCAGCCAAGCCGCGUGAGGGAUGACGGUACAGAGUAUCGUAAACCUCUUUUGUCAGGGAACAAAGGCGGGGACGCGUCCCCGGUUGAGGGUACCUGAAGAAUAAGCAUCGGCUAACUCCGUGCCAGCAGCCGCGGUAAUACGGAAGAUGCGAGCGUUAUCCGGAUUUAUUGGGUUUAAAGGGUGCGCAGGCGGCCCGUUAAGUGAGCGGUCAAAGCCCGGGGCUCAACCCCGGCCCGCCGUUGAAACUGGGAGUCUCGAGUUGGACAGAAGUAUGCGGAAUGCGCGGUGUAGCGGUGAAAUGCAUAGAUAUCGCGCAGAACUCCGAUUGCGAAGGCAGCAUGCCGGCUCCACACUGACGCUGAGGCACGAAGGCGUGGGUAUCGAACAGGAUUAGAUACCCUUGUAGUC